Molecule: non-coding RNA, 74 nt
Organism: Potamilus streckersoni
Lineage: Eukaryota; Metazoa; Mollusca; Bivalvia; Unionida; Unionidae
Source: the annotation of a GenBank genome assembly
AGCUCUGGUUGCCUAGUGGAUAGAGCGUACGCCUCAGAUGCAGGAGGUCGUGGGUUCGAUCCCCGGUCGAGUCA